RNAcentral lists this transfer RNA (66 nucleotides) under Septifer bilocularis. Its description in RNAcentral is "tRNA-Tyr". Lineage: Eukaryota; Metazoa; Mollusca; Bivalvia; Mytilida; Mytilidae. The record is from RNAcentral.
AGUAAGAUGGCUGAAGUAUAAGCGGUAAAUUGUAAAUUUAUUUAUAGAAAUAAAUUCUUCUUAUUA